UGGGGAAUUUUGCACAAUGGGGGCAACCCUGAUGCAGCGACGCCGCGUGAUUUAGAAGGCCUUCGGGUUGUAAAAAUCUUUUGUAUGGGAAGAAAAUGACAGUACCAUACGAAUAAGGACAGGCUAAUUACGUGCCAGCAGCCGCGGUAAUACGUAAGGUCCGAGCGUUGUCCGGAAUCAUUGGGCGUAAAGGGUACGUAGGCGGAUAAGCAAGUUAGAAGUGAAAUCCUAUAGCUCAACUAUAGUAAGCUUUUAAAACUGCUCAUCUUGAGGUAGGGAAGGGAAAGUGGAAUUCCUAGUGUAGCGGUGAAAUGCGCAGAUAUUAGGAGGAAUACUGGUGGCGAAGGCGACUUUCUGGCCAUAAACUGACGCUGAGGUACGAAAGCGUGGGUAGCAAACAGG
Molecule: ribosomal RNA, 402 nt
Filed under: Actinomycetes bacterium
Lineage: Bacteria; Bacillati; Actinomycetota; Actinomycetes
Description: Actinobacteria bacterium partial 16S ribosomal RNA
Rfam family: Bacterial small subunit ribosomal RNA
Source: RNAcentral